RNAcentral lists this ribosomal RNA (715 nucleotides) under Vibrio sp. PNSBCandelaria_6. RNAcentral's name for it is "bacterial SSU rRNA". It matches the Rfam family "Bacterial small subunit ribosomal RNA", at positions 48 to 745 of the family's 1533-position model. The record is from RNAcentral. Lineage: Bacteria; Pseudomonadati; Pseudomonadota; Gammaproteobacteria; Vibrionales; Vibrionaceae.
GCUACCAUGCAGUCGAGCGGAACGAGUUAUCUGAACCUUCGGGGAACGAUAACGGCGUCGAGCGGCGGACGGGUGAGUAAUGCCUAGGAAAUUGCCCUGAUGUGGGGGAUAACCAUUGGAAACGAUGGCUAAUACCGCAUGAUGCCUACGGGCCAAAGAGGGGGACCUUCGGGCCUCUCGCGUCAGGAUAUGCCUAGGUGGGAUUAGCUAGUUGGUGAGGUAAGGGCUCACCAGGGCGACGAUCCCUAGCUGGUCUGAGAGGAUGAUCAGCCACACUGGAACUGAGACACGGUCCAGACUCCUACGGGAGGCAGCAGUGGGGAAUAUUGCACAAUGGGCGCAAGCCUGAUGCAGCCAUGCCGCGUGUAUGAAGAAGGCCUUCGGGUUGUAAAGUACUUUCAGUCGUGAGGAAGGCGGCGUCGUUAAUAGCGGCAUCGUUUGACGUUAGCGACAGAAGAAGCACCGGCUAACUCCGUGCCAGCAGCCGCGGUAAUACGGAGGGUGCGAGCGUUAAUCGGAAUUACUGGGCGUAAAGCGCAUGCAGGUGGUUUGUUAAGUCAGAUGUGAAAGCCCGGGGCUCAACCUCGGAAUAGCAUUUGAAACUGGCAGACUAGAGUACUGUAGAGGGGGGUAGAAUUUCAGGUGUAGCGGUGAAAUGCGUAGAGAUCUGAAGGAAUACCGGUGGCGAAGGCGGCCCCCUGGACAGAUACUGACA